This 377-nucleotide ribosomal RNA is filed under the name uncultured bacterium. RNAcentral describes it as "bacterial SSU rRNA". It matches the Rfam family "Bacterial small subunit ribosomal RNA", at positions 521 to 896 of the family's 1533-position model. The record is from RNAcentral.
UAAUACGUAGGUGGCAAGCGUUGUCCGGAUUUACUGGGCGUAAAGAGCGCGCAGGCGGUCGAGUAAGUCGAAUGUGAAAGCCCCCGGCUUAACUGGGGAGGGUCAUUCGAUACUGUUCGACUUGAAGGCAGGAGAGGGCAGCAGAAUUCCCGGUGUAGUGGUGAAAUGCGUAGAUAUCGGGAGGAAUACCAGUGGCGAAGGCGGCUGCCUGGCCUGUUCUUGACGCUGAGGCGCGAAAGCUGGGGGAGCAAACGGGAUUAGAUACCCCGGUAGUCCCAGCCGUAAACGAUGGACACUAGGUGUUGGUGGUAUCAACCCCGCCAGUGCCGUAGCUAACGCAUUAAGUGUCCCGCCUGGGGAGUACGGCCGCAAGGCUA